GGUCCUUCCUCUGCACGGCCGUCCACUUGACCUCCCUGCUUUGCCCGUGAGACUUUGCCUUUAUUUUUCCCUCAGUUUGAGGCGCUUUUUGUUUGCUGUUCUCAGCCCUUUUUUCCCUCGUGUUGAGGAGCUUUUGUUUAUGCCCUUUUUCCCUCAUGUUGAGGCGCUUUUGUUUUUGCGCUUUUUCCCUCAUCGUGAGGCGUCUUUUGUUCUUGGAGCUGUUGGCAACGAAGGAAAUAAAAAGGAAAUAAAUAAUCAAAGCCUGACAGCUGUGAUUAUUUACGGCAAUGGGUCCCAUUUUAUUAGUCUUUGGUAUGACCUGGCUGGGUUUUGAACUCAUAACCUUCCAGUUUCAGGGUGGACACUACCACUAGGCCACAGAGCUGGAGCUUUUGUGUUGUGUUUAGUUUCUAUAAACUUUUAGCUUUUUUUUUUUUUAAACUAUUUUAGCAGAUGCACUGAUUGUUUGGCAUUUUUAAUUUUGUUGUACAUGUGACAAUAAAGAUCUAUUUAUCCAUCUGUGUAACUAAUGAAGUUGUGACGCUAUGCCCAAACUGCUUUUUUUUUACUCCACCACGCAUUAAAGCGGGUGGAGAAGCCAAGCUGCCUUCGUUACAGCAAACCUGAAGACAGAGAACGAAGCGGUCGUAAGAGUGGCCGUGUGGAGGGAGGCGACCUUGACCCCGAUCAAGGUUGGGGCCUUCUACACGUUCUCGCUCCUUAGUGCCGUGACAAAUGAUUUCGGCCUGUCCCUCAAUACGACCCAGUAUUCAAAGAUAUCGGGCUACAAUACAACUGUAAGCUUGGUGGCUAUUGGGCUAAUGAUGGAGGAGGAGGAGGAGGUCAAGUUGGUGGAUGGGGAGGGGGUCGAAACCACAAUUGCCUUGAGUGUAUGGACCAAGACUUUCGUUGAGCCACCAAAAUUACCAGAAGAUGGACUCCAAUUGAAACUCAUUUAUUCGGAGGGUGAAGUGGUGGAAAUUUGCAAAUAAAUUUUAUUUUGCCAA
Molecule: long non-coding RNA, 1007 nt
Organism: Syngnathus typhle (broad-nosed pipefish)
Lineage: Eukaryota; Metazoa; Chordata; Actinopteri; Syngnathiformes; Syngnathidae
Exons: 3
Source: RefSeq, a predicted model, not a curated record